This 484-nucleotide ribosomal RNA is filed under the name uncultured bacterium. RNAcentral describes it as "partial 16S ribosomal RNA". It matches the Rfam family "Bacterial small subunit ribosomal RNA", at positions 30 to 507 of the family's 1533-position model. The record is from RNAcentral.
AUUGAACGCUGGCGGCAGGCCUAACACAUGCAAUUCGAGCGGAUUAAGGGAGCUUGCUCCUGUAUUCAGCGGCGGACGGGUGAGUAAUGCCUAGGAAUCUGCCUGGCAGUGGGGGAUAACGUCCGGAAACGGGCGCUAAUACCGCAUACGUCCUGAGGGAGAAAGUGGGGGAUCUUCGGACCUCACGCUAUCAGAUGAGCCUAGGUCGGAUUAGCUAGUUGGUGGGGUAAAGGCCUACCAAGGCGACGAUCCGUAACUGGUCUGAGAGGAUGAUCAGUCACACUGGAACUGAGACACGGUCCAGACUCCUACGGGAGGCAGCAGUGGGGAAUAUUGGACAAUGGGCGAAAGCCUGAUCCAGCCAUGCCGCGUGUGUGAAGAAGGUCUUCGGAUUGUAAAGCACUUUAAGUUGGGAGGAAGGGCAGUAAGUUAAUACCUUGCUGUUUUGACGUUACCAACAGAAUAAGCACCGGCUAACUUCGUG